CCCCAGAACCAAAAGAGAAGUUCUAAGUUCGUAUCUUCACCCCGCAGUCCCCGUCGUCUGUUCUUUUCCCUUCGGAAACCUAACUACCCGAGGAGACUCUAACUUAGAAGAAGAAGAAACGAGGAUAUUGAGUGAGUUUACAUCCUACUGGUUUUUGUUCAAGUUUAUAUCUGGUCACUAAAAAAUUGAUUUUGGAGACCAAAAUUGAACAUGUGAUUUGAUAUAUUGGUUAAGGUAGAAAUUGGGAAGGAAUAAUUUUGAUUAGUUUGAUUACAUGGAAGUGGUUUCUGAAUUCACUUCUUCAAACCUUUCUCUCUAUUAUUUUGCAAGACAAACCUAAGAGGAGAUCGAAGAAGAAGAAGAUAUCAAAUUAAAGGUCUCUGCAUUCUAAAACCGCUCUGAGACAGUUUCAAGGUUGAGCACAGACGUGUUUUCAUGACAAAAGUAAACAGUGCAUCAAGAACCGAAAAAUCAAAACAAUGGCGAUUGGUCAAUGAUGCUACAACUGCGCAAGAAAAGAAAAUGAAGUUUCCAAUAUACUAUAAGAAAGAAGAUUAGGAGAAGUUCAUUGAUAACAAAACUUCUGAAAAAUUGCAGAUAAAAUCUGAACAGGCAUCUAAAGCACAUCGGAAGUGAAGGCUCAAUAUACAGGUGGUAGGAAAGGUGUACCUAGAAGGUGGCUUGAAAUGUUAAAUUCUUAACACUAUAUAGCAUUUUUGAGCCAUUAUUCUUAACACUAUCACUGGCAGCUGCAAAACUAGCAUUGGUGAAGAAGGCAUAUGAUAAAGAUCCUUUAGCACAAAAGUGUUUGAGCACCGAUGCUGAUACCAAGAUAUUUGGCGUCGAUUGAAAGGGUUUACAUAUGCGGAUUGGGUGCAGGUGUCUAAAUCUCAAUUUCUUUUUCUUGAGUUUAUGAGGGCCAAGUUGCAGGAAGAGAAGAACAAUGUGGUGAAGAGAAGCAGAAAAACAAAGCUUCGAAAGCACAGUUGGAUGUUGAAAGACAGAAAAAUAAUACUGGAGUACAUUAUCAGAUAUCUAAUAGCGCUCUUACCAGCAGGACAUUGGGAUGCCAAUAGUACCCUCGUCGUUUGGUCUUUGCUUUUUGAGGAACUUAAGGAAAAAGCCGGUUGCAGUUGCAUAUGUCGACACUAAGGUGCUGACUGAUGACAGAGAUGAUGCUAUACUUCGGGAUGUUUCAAUAGGUGAGUGGCCAAAGGCCUAUGUGACUCCCCAAGGAGAGCGGUCAAGUUAGAGUGGUAGUGACAGUAGAUUGAUUACUUUUUUUUUUUUUUGUAAUUUUCAAAGGGUUGCAGGGAUGUCUUCCAAUUUGUAUUCGAAUAUUCUAUUUUCUCUAAUAAUAAAGUUAAUUUUAAAUUG
Papaver somniferum (opium poppy) is the source of this 1377-nucleotide long non-coding RNA. RefSeq lists it as uncharacterized. The transcript is spliced from 6 exons. The record is from RefSeq and is a predicted model, not a curated record. NCBI's taxonomy places the organism in Eukaryota, Viridiplantae, Streptophyta, Magnoliopsida, Ranunculales, Papaveraceae.